GUCCACGCCGUAAACGAUGAGUGCUAAGUGUUAGAGGGUUUCCGCCCUUUAGUGCUGCAGCAAACGCAUUAAGCACUCCGCCUGGGGAGUACGGCCGCAAGGCUGAAACUCAAAGGAAUUGACGGGGCCGGCACAAGCGGUGGAGCAUGUGGUUUAAUUUCGAAGCAACGCGAAGAACCUUACCAGGUCUUGACAUCCUUAUGACUUCCCUAGAGAUAGGGCGUUUCCCUUCGGGGACGAUAAGUGACAGGUGGUGCAUGGUUGUCGU
RNAcentral lists this ribosomal RNA (268 nucleotides) under uncultured bacterium. RNAcentral describes it as "partial 16S ribosomal RNA". It matches the Rfam family "Bacterial small subunit ribosomal RNA", at positions 793 to 1055 of the family's 1533-position model. The record is from RNAcentral.